Molecule: ribosomal RNA, 519 nt
Filed under: uncultured Rhizobium sp.
Lineage: Bacteria; Pseudomonadati; Pseudomonadota; Alphaproteobacteria; Hyphomicrobiales; Rhizobiaceae
Description: bacterial SSU rRNA
Rfam family: Bacterial small subunit ribosomal RNA
Source: RNAcentral
UUGGGAAUGGGCGCAAGCCUGAUCCAGCCAUGCCGCGUGAGUGAUGAAGGCCUUAGGGUUGUAAAGCUCUUUCACCGGAGAAGAUAAUGACGGUACUCGGAGAAGAAGCCCCGGCUAACUUCGUGCCAGCAGCCGCGGUAAUACGAAGGGGGCGAGCGUUGUUCGGAAUUACUGGGCGUAAAGCGCACCUAGGCGGAUAUUUAAGUCAGGGGUGAAAUCCCGUAGCUCAACUGCGGAACUGCUUUGAUACUGGGUAUCUUGAGUAUGGUAGAGGAAAGUGGAAUUCCGAGUGUACAGGUGAAAUUCGUAGAUAUUCGGAGGAACACCAGUGGCGAAGGCGGCUUACUGGUCCAUUACUGACGCUUAUGUGCGAAAGCGUGGGGAGCAAACAGGAUUAGAUACCCUGGUAGUCCACGCCGUAAACUAUGAAUGUUAGCCGUUGGGCAACCUACUGGUCGGUGGCGCACCUAACGCAUUAACCNUUCCGCCUGGGGAGUACGGUCGCAAGAUUAACACUCA